This 449-nucleotide ribosomal RNA is filed under the name uncultured bacterium. RNAcentral describes it as "partial 16S ribosomal RNA". It matches the Rfam family "Bacterial small subunit ribosomal RNA", at positions 29 to 523 of the family's 1533-position model. The record is from RNAcentral.
AAUGAACGCUGGCGGCAGGCCUAACACAUGCAAGUCGAACGGAUCCUUCGGGAUUAGUGGCGGACGGGUGAGUAACGCGUGGGAACAUACCCCUUGGUACGGAAUAGCCUCGGGAAACUGGGAGUAAUACCGUAUGUGGUCGAGAGACGAAAGAUUUAUCGCCAAAGGAUUGGCCCGCGUUGGAUUAGGUAGUUGGUGGGGUAAUGGCCUACCAAGCCAACGAUCCAUAGCUGGUUUGAGAGGAUGAUCAGCCACACUGGGACUGAGACACGGCCCAGACUCCUACGGGAGGCAGCAGUGGGGAAUAUUGGACAAUGGGCGAAAGCCUGAUCCAGCAAUGCCGCGCGAGUGAUGAAGGCCUUAGGGUUGUAAAGCUCUUUUACCAGGGAUGAUAAUGACAGUACCUGGGGAAUAAGCUCCGGCUAACUCCGUGCCAGCCGCCGCAGUAA